RNAcentral lists this ribosomal RNA (350 nucleotides) under uncultured bacterium. RNAcentral's name for it is "bacterial SSU rRNA". It matches the Rfam family "Bacterial small subunit ribosomal RNA", at positions 355 to 722 of the family's 1533-position model. The record is from RNAcentral.
UGGGGAAUAUUGCGCAAUGGGGGAAACCCUGACGCAGCCAUGCCGCGUGAGUGACGAAGGCCUUAGGGUUGUAAAGCUCUUUCGCUAGGGAAGAUAAUGACGGUACCUAGUAAAGAAGCCCCGGCUAACUCCGUGCCAGCAGCCGCGGUAAUACGGAGGGGGCUAGCGUUGUUCGGAAAUCACUGGGCGUAAAGCGCGCGUAGGCGGAUUGAUUAGUUGGGGUGAAAUCCCGGGGCUCAACCUCGGAACUGCCUUCAAUACUGUCAGUCUUGAGUUCGUGAGAGGUAAGUGGAAUUCCGAGUGUAGAGGUGAAAUUCGUAGAUAUUCGGAAGAACACCAGUGGCGAAGGC